GAUGAACGCUGGCGGCGUGCCUAAUACAUGCAAGUCGAGCGAACAGACGAGGAGCUUGCUCCUCUGACGUUAGCGGCGGACGGGUGAGUAACACGUGGAUAACCUACCUAUAAGACUGGGAUAACUUCGGGAAACCGGAGCUAAUACCGGAUAAUAUAUUGAACCGCAUGGUUCAAUAGUGAAAGACGGUUUUGCUGUCACUUAUAGAUGUAUCCGCGCCGCAUUAGCUAGUUGGUAAAUUAACGGUUUACCAAGGCAACGAUGCGUAUCCGACGUGAGAGGGUAAUCGCCGACAGUAGAACAGAGACAUGGAACAGAUUCAUAAGGAAGGCAGAAGUAGGGAAUAUUAAGAAAAGGGCGAAAGCCUGAAGGAACAACGGCGCGUGAGUAAUGAAGGUCUUCGGAUCGUAAAAAUCUGUUAAUAGGGAAGAACAAAUGUGUAAGUAACUAUGCACGUAUUGACGGUACCUAAUCAGAAAGCCAAGGCUAACUACGUG
Molecule: ribosomal RNA, 497 nt
Filed under: uncultured bacterium
Lineage: Bacteria
Description: partial 16S ribosomal RNA
Rfam family: Bacterial small subunit ribosomal RNA
Source: RNAcentral